CCGAGUGAGGGCCUUCGGGCUCGACCUCCAACCCUUUGUGAACACAUCUUGUUGCUUCGGGGGCGACCCUGCCGUUCCGACGGCGAGCGCCCCCGGAGGCCUUCAAACACUGCAUCUUUGCGUCGGAGUUUAAGUAAAUUAAACA
Molecule: unclassified non-coding RNA, 145 nt
Filed under: uncultured Mycosphaerella
Lineage: Eukaryota; Fungi; Ascomycota; Dothideomycetes; Mycosphaerellales; Mycosphaerellaceae
Source: RNAcentral